Molecule: ribosomal RNA, 497 nt
Filed under: uncultured bacterium
Lineage: Bacteria
Description: partial 16S ribosomal RNA
Rfam family: Bacterial small subunit ribosomal RNA
Source: RNAcentral
GAUGAACGCUGGCGGCGUGCCUAAUACAUGCAAGUCGAGCGAACAGACGAGGAGCUUGCUCCUCUGACGUUAGCGGCGGACGGGGGAGUAACACGUGGAUAACCUAUCUAUAAGACUGGGAUAAAUUCGGGAAACCGGAGCUAAUACCGGAUAAUAUAUUGAACCGCAUGGUUCAAUAGUGAAAGACGGUUUUGCUGUCACUUAUAGAUGGAUCCGCGCCGCAUUAGCUAGUUGGUAAGGUAACGGCUUACCAAGGCGACGAUGCGUAGCCGACCUGAGAGGGUGAUCGGCCACACUGGAACUGAGACACGGUCCAGACUCCUACGGGAGGCAGCAGUAGGGAAUCUUCCGCAAUGGGCGAAAGCCUGACGGAGCAACGCCGCGUGAGUGAUGAAGGUCUUCGGAUCGUAAAGCUCUGUUAUUAGGGAAGAACAAAUGUGUAAGUAACUAUGCACGUCUUGACGGUACCUAAUCAGAAAGCCACGGCUAACUACGUG